UACGUAGGGUGCAAGCGUUUGUCCGGAAUUAUUGGGCGUAAAGAGCUCGUAGGCGGUUUGUCGCGUCUGCCGUGAAAGUCCGGGGCUCAACUCCGGAUCUGCGGUGGGUACGGGCAGACUAGAGUGUGGUAGGGGGAGACUGGAAUUCCUGGUGUAGCGGUGAAAUGCGCAGAUAUCAGGAGGAACACCGAUGGCGGAAGGCAGGUCUCUGGGCCACUACUGAC
Molecule: ribosomal RNA, 224 nt
Filed under: uncultured bacterium
Lineage: Bacteria
Description: partial 16S ribosomal RNA
Rfam family: Bacterial small subunit ribosomal RNA
Source: RNAcentral